Molecule: ribosomal RNA, 35 nt
Filed under: Oreina speciosa
Lineage: Eukaryota; Metazoa; Arthropoda; Insecta; Coleoptera; Chrysomelidae
Description: partial 28S ribosomal RNA
Source: RNAcentral
CGACCUCAGAGUAGGUGAAACUACCCGCUGAAUUU